RNAcentral lists this transfer RNA (71 nucleotides) under Bos taurus (domestic cattle). It matches the Rfam family "tRNA". From Rfam's summary of the family: Transfer RNA (tRNA) molecules are approximately 80 nucleotides in length. Their secondary structure includes four short double-helical elements and three loops (D, anti-codon, and T loops). Further hydrogen bonds mediate the characteristic L-shaped molecular structure. tRNAs have two regions of fundamental functional importance: the anti-codon, which is responsible for specific mRNA codon recognition, and the 3' end, to which the tRNAs corresponding amino acid is attached (by aminoacyl-tRNA synthetases). tRNAs cope with the degeneracy of the genetic code in two manners: having more than one tRNA (with a specific anti-codon) for a particular amino acid; and 'wobble' base-pairing, i.e. permitting non-standard base-pairing at the 3rd anti-codon position. Lineage: Eukaryota; Metazoa; Chordata; Mammalia; Artiodactyla; Bovidae. RNAcentral also lists the same sequence under 5 other names. The record is from Rfam by way of RNAcentral.
UCCCAGGUGGCUCAGUAGUAAAGAAUCUGCCUGCCAAGCAGGAGACGCAGGUUCAAUCCCUGGGUUGGGAA